GCAAAAUCAAUACAUUCCUCGCUGUCCUUAGAAUUUAAAAUAUAUUUGUCGUUUUAUCAGCUUUAUCUUUUUUUUUCUUUGGCUUCAUCCCAAUUAUUUGAUGGUCAGCCAAUUUUAUAGUUAUAUACAGGUCCAUAUUUAGGGAGGUGCGAGAGGUGUCCACACAUCCAGGCGCCAAUGAAAGUUCUGCAAUCGAAUAUUUUUACAUAAUGAACGCAAGAGUUGGUAAAUUGUUCUGGCACCGGGUUGUUGAUUUUGCUAGGCACAGUACUAGUUGUAUGUAUU
Non-coding RNA from Cinara cedri, 285 nucleotides. Lineage: Eukaryota; Metazoa; Arthropoda; Insecta; Hemiptera; Aphididae. The record is from the annotation of a GenBank genome assembly.